Long non-coding RNA from Pogoniulus pusillus (Red-fronted tinkerbird), 280 nucleotides. RefSeq lists it as uncharacterized. NCBI's taxonomy places the organism in Eukaryota, Metazoa, Chordata, Aves, Piciformes, Lybiidae. The transcript has 3 exons. The record is from RefSeq and is a predicted model, not a curated record.
UGCCCAGCGGGAUGGGUGUUGGAGACAGGAGGGUUGAUGCAGUUGCCCGUGCUUGCUCCGGUUGCCCAUUUUGCUGGUGCCUGGUGUGAGGGCUGAAGGAAGAAGGGGUUGGCAGCUGGAGGUGAGCAAGAGCUCCUGCAGAGCGAGGAGAGCCAUUGGCUGUGUGGGACACGGUGGCUGGCCUGCUUGGAGAAGCACUUGUGGUGCCAAGGGCACGCCCGUUGUGAGGCUGGGCUCCUUUGAGAGCAUGCCCAGCGGGAUGGGUGUUGGAGACAGGAGG